This 1660-nucleotide ribosomal RNA is filed under the name human gut metagenome. RNAcentral describes it as "bacterial LSU rRNA". It matches the Rfam family "Bacterial large subunit ribosomal RNA", at positions 802 to 2541 of the family's 2925-position model. The record is from RNAcentral.
GGAUGACUUGUGGAUAGCGGAGAAAUUCCAAUCGAACUCGGAGAUAGCUGGUUCUCCCCGAAAUAGCUUUAGGGCUAGCGUUGUGUUAGUUUACCGGAGGUAGAGCACUGAAUUGGCUAAGGGGCGAUGAGCUUACUGAACCUUAUCAAACUUCGAAUGCCGGAUAAAUGGUGCACAGCAGUCAGACAGUGUGAGAUAAGUUUCAUUGUCAAGAGGGAAACAGCCCAGACCCACAGCUAAGGUCCCAAAUGAACGCUAAGUGGAAAACGAUGUGGGGUUGCAAAAACAACCAGGAUGUUGGCUUAGAGGCAGCCACUCAUUAAAAGAGUGCGUAAUAGCUCACUGGUCGAGUGACCCUGCGCGGAAAAUAUAACGGGGCUAAGCGUCCAACCGAAGCUUGGGAUGUCUAAGGACAUGGUAGGGGAGCGUCGUGUAUAGGGAGAAGCAUGAGCGAGAGCACAUGUGGACAGUACACGAGUGAGAAUGCCGGAAUGAGUAGCGAGAAUUAUGUGGGAAUCAUAAUGGCCGAAAAUCUAAGGUUUCUUGGGGAAGGUUCGUCCGCCCAAGGUAAGCCGGGAGCUAAGGCGAGGCCGAAAGGCGUAGUCGAUGCACAUACGGUUGAAAUUCCGUAGCCGCCGAAAUUGUUAAGCACAGGGACACAUAGAGAUAUCCGAACCCGGGCGUUGGUUGACCCGGGCGCAAGGGACCGAACAUCAGUAGGGAAGUCGGAGAUGCUCUGUGGCGAGAAAAGCUGUGUGUAUUGAUUAGGCGCCCGUACCGCAAACCGACACAGGUAGAUGAGGAGAGAAUCCUAAGGCCAACGGGAGAAGGGUUGUUAAGGAACUCGGCAAAUUGACCCCGUAACUUCGGAAGAAGGGGAGCCCCCUACGGGGGGUCGCAGAGAAAUGGCCCAAGCAACUGUUUACCAAAAACACAGGUCUAUGCUAAAUCGAAAGAUGACGUAUAUGGGCUGACGCCUGCCCGGUGCCGGAAGGUUAAGAGGAGAUGUCAGGCAACGAAGCAUUGAAUUUAAGCCCCGGUAAACGGCGGCCGUAACUAUAACGGUCCUAAGGUAGCGAAAUUCCUUGUCAGGUAAGUUCUGACCCGCACGAAUGGCGUAAUGAUUUGGGCACUGUCUCAACAGCCCGCCCGGCGAAAUUGUAGUACUGGUGAAGAUGCCAGUUACCCGCAACUAGACGGAAAGACCCCAUGGAGCUUUACUGCAGCUUAAUACUGAAAUUCGGUAGUACAUGUACAGGAUAGGUGGGAGACUGAGAAAUACAGGCGUCAGCUUGUAUGGAGUCGCUGUUGGGAUACCACUCUUGUACUGCUGGGUUUCUAACCUGCGGCCGUGAAUCCGGUCGGGGGACACUGUUAGGCGGGCAGUUUGACUGGGGCGGUCGCCUCCCAAAAGGUAACGGAGGCGCUCAAAGGUUCGUUCAGCACGGACGGAAAUCGUGCAAUGAGUGUAAACGCAUAAACGAGCCUAACUGCGAGACCGACGGGUCGAGCAGUAACGAAAGUUGGAGUUAGUGAUCCGGUGGUAUGUGAGUGGAAAUGCCAUCGCUCAACGGAUAAAAGCUACCCUGGGGAUAACAGGCUGAUCUCCCCCAAGCGUCCACAGCGACGGGGAGGUUUGGCACCUCGAUGUCGGCUCGUC